This 378-nucleotide unclassified non-coding RNA is filed under the name uncultured Parachlamydiaceae bacterium. RNAcentral describes it as "contains 16S-23S intergenic spacer region". The record is from RNAcentral. Lineage: Bacteria; Pseudomonadati; Chlamydiota; Chlamydiia; Parachlamydiales; Parachlamydiaceae.
UCCUGGUUAACCCAGGCAGUCUCAUUAAAGUGCCCACCUUAACGUGUUGGCAACUAAUGAUAAGGGUUGCGCUCGUUGCGGGACUUAACCCAACACCUCACGGCACGAGCUGACGACAGCCAUGCAGCACCUGUGCAGCGGCCCCGAAGGGAAAUACUGUUUCCAGUAUCGUCCACUGCAUGUCAAGUCUGGGUAAGGUUCUUCGCGUUGCAUCGAAUUAAACCACAUGCUCCACUGCUUGUGCGGGUCCCCGUCAAUUCUUUUGAGUUUCAGCCUUGCGACUGUACUCCCCAGGCGGUAUACUUAUCGCGUUAGCUUCGGCACAACCAGGGUUGAAUCCAGUUACACCAAGUAUACAUCGUUUACGGCAAGGACUAC